AUGCCUAGCCGUAAAACAUUAACUUACACCAUAAACCGCCCGGGAAUUACGAGCCCAAGCUUAAAACCCAAAGGACUUGACGGUGUCCCAUCCACCUAGAGGAGCCUGUUCUAUAAUCGAUUCUCCCCGAUACACCUCACCACUUCUAGCCCCCAGUCUGUAUACCUCCGUCGCAAGCUUACCAUGUGAACGAAACUAGUGAGCUUAAAGAUCUUUUUCACCAACACGUCAGGUCAAGGUGCAGCUUACGAAGCGGAAAGAAAUGGGCUACAAUUUCUAACCUAGAACAAACGAAAGGCUGCAUGAAAAACAGUCAUGAAGGCGGAUUUAGUAGUAAAAAGAAAAUAGAGUGUUCUUUUUAAUAAGGCCCUGGGACGCGUACACA
RNAcentral lists this ribosomal RNA (385 nucleotides) under Hypopachus barberi (Barber's sheep frog). RNAcentral's name for it is "12S ribosomal RNA". It matches the Rfam family "Bacterial small subunit ribosomal RNA", at positions 792 to 1389 of the family's 1533-position model. Lineage: Eukaryota; Metazoa; Chordata; Amphibia; Anura; Microhylidae. The record is from RNAcentral.